GAGGGGCAGUCCCCAGUGCCCUGCUGCAUGGCUGCUCUGAGAACACAGCAGUGGGGAACCCUCGGACCACUGGCUGGUCAGAAAAAGGCAAGGAAGGCCCAGUCCUAUCUCCUGGGUGGUGGAAAGCCCAGCAGGUGUCUCCAGCCUUGGACUGCAUUGAAUUGCAACUAGGCAGAGUGCAAGAGGUGCCAGAGUGCAAGAGCUGGGCGAACCCCUCCAACGCACACACUUCUAGCCCGGGGAACUGGAGUGACAUAAUCCCUCUUACGGUCCAGCUGGAAGAGCUUUCUUCAUCUUAUUAACCUUCUGGAGCGGCAUCUGUCAACCCCAGAAGACUUCAACAGCACCAUGAUAAACAACAGAAGUCUCUUCUAGUUCCCAUUGCCUUCGAGCAUUGAUUCUUUUGGGCAUUCUGGAGUUUUCUCGUCUCCUCUGUGUCUCAGCCUGAAGUUGCUUUCCAGCUCACUAUGGUAUAUUAUUUUGAAAGCUGAGAGUGGAGUGAAGGAUUAUUGUGUUUAUUAGCUACACCUGGUAGAUAACUGCAAGGUUCCCACACUGGCUCCAGCUUCUUCGUGCCUCAAUGCAAUGAGGGUCAUCCCUGAAGGAUGCAGGCUUCAGAAACCAGGCUCUGUUUUCAGCUGAGCCUUAUGCUCUGCUCACUGCUGAUGGAAGAGGAUGUAUGUGCAUUCCUCUCGCCUUACCCCCGAGAGCAAUGAGCAGUGAACUGGGAUUCCUCAUCAUUCUGGUCUGAGACAGCAGAGAAUAGGCCCCCUUUGGGAUCCAGCAGCUUUGUGCAUCACACUGAUGAUCAGUCAGACAAAUGAUUUUGGAGGAGCCAGAUCAAGGCUGAUUCUGGCACAGAAGAAAUAAAAACCAGCAACUUUUCUGUAUAGCCUCAUACCUUCGUGAGACACACUGGCUGGCUGAGUGUCCUUAUUACCAAUUCUGCCUCUGUGCUGUGCACUUGUUAGAGGCAAGACAGGGCAGUGCCUCUGUCCCCAUACAGUUCACACAUAAACAUCUGGCUGCUUUUUACAGUUCCAGUUAGGAACAGCACUGCCCUGUGCCAUGCAGCCACCUUCUACAACCCCCUGAGCUUCAUUUCUUACAGACUCUGAGCUCAGCCUUGCUCCAGACUCUUCCUGUGUGCCUC
Long non-coding RNA from Hirundo rustica (Barn swallow), 1153 nucleotides. RefSeq lists it as uncharacterized. The transcript is spliced from 5 exons. The record is from RefSeq and is a predicted model, not a curated record. Lineage: Eukaryota; Metazoa; Chordata; Aves; Passeriformes; Hirundinidae.